AGCCCCGCCCCGUCUGGUCCCGCCCCCACGGCCCCUCCCCCUCCCCACAGGCGAGGCGCCACCCGCCCUCCCUCACCUCGGAGAACAGCGCGGCUAGGUGCUCCAGGGGCGCGGCGGGCAGGUCCCCGCAGAGCACUGCCCCGCGGAGGCUGGUGGGCUCUGGAGGCUCGGGCCUCCUGCGCAGGAAAAAAAGCCCCUUUGCGCGAGCUGGGCCGGACUCAGGUCCCGGGUCCAUCCCCUGUCGCAUCGCCAGGCCUCCGGGGCCGGGCCGCACUACCAGCAAGGGCCUGGGCCCCUCUGCAGCACCUCGGCCCAGGAAGGCCUGGAGCAGAUGCUCAGCCUCGGGUGUCCCCGUGCAGCGCUCCCAAGCACCCGCCGCCGGCCGCAGGCUCUGAGCCACGUAGGCCCCCAGGAGACGCAGCAGUCUCGGGUCGGCGCUGGAGUCCUCGUCCGCGUUCUCCGCAGCGAGCAGGGCCAGAUCCUCCGCGCACGGCAUCGUGCGCGGCCUCCGGCUGCAUUGGUUUCCCUAGCGACGGGGACGCGGCCAGGACUUCCCUCCUCUGCUUUCUUCCUAUUGGGCCAAGGACUCUUGACCCCGCCCCUUCCAGGCAAAUAAGCUGUAUCUCGAAAGGGAAGUCUGUCACACUGCAGGCACCAUGGAGCCCAGGCCAAGGCAGCCGGAGGUGCACUCCUGCCAUACUCUCAAGCAGAUGUGAGACAUCAAGAACGCCCUGCCCAGAGGUAGUUUCUGCACUUCUUCACUCCUGGCUCCUUCAUCUUCUCCCUGGUGGUACAGCAGUGAGGCCAGGUUUGAUUUUGUUGGAGUAGCAAACUCCUGCCACCCCUUAACCUUAGAGACUCCAGAUAACAGAAAUUUGUUUCUUGUUCAUGUGACAUGUCUGCCAUGGAUUAGCUGAAGAUGGAAUGGAAGGGUUUGCUCAUCUUAGUCACCCGGGAGCUCAAGCUCUGCUGGUGCCAUGCCAGGGGUCUCUAAAAGGGUCUUGCUGUGAAAUGCUUGGGCCUGGAAGGCAGACUCUUAAUUCCUACUCACAGUGCAUGAGUCAUAGUUACUCCCAUGGUCUCCUCCAAUUACAAGAAGGCCAGAAAGUGCAGUCCUUCAACGGGUCCAGAGAAGGAAGAACUAGAAAACCUUGACAAAUAGCACUAACAACUAAGGUAAACAGAAAGAAUAAGGCUUUACAUGAAAGAGAGUAAAAUGGAGUCUUUUAUAGGUAAGUGGAUGCAACUCAAGAACAUAUUUGUAAAUGAAAUAAAUCAGACCCAUAUGUGUAAACAUAUUGUCUCACUAGUGUGAAAAAACAAACAAGUAAAUAAGAUCUGAAAUGUACAAUAGAUAUUGUGAAUUGGGAAGAAACUGUUCAAAAGAAAAGACAAACUGUGAUGGGGAAAGGGGAAAUGAAGAAAGGCAAAAAGAAGAAAAUCUAUGUAUAUACAAGAUAGUUAAGGUUGUUACACAGCUAGUUUCUCUUUGUUCAUUAAAAACAAAGUUUUGUGCUAAUAUUGUAUAGACAAGAUAUCUUGCCUACAUCGUCUACCCUGAAUAGCUACUAGGAAGACAACGAUACACAGUGUAUCAACUAUUGUAGCUGUCCUAAUAGCCUGUUUUGAAACUUCAUUUCAUUGUUUAUCUUUUUUUAAAGGAAGGAACAGCUGGAAGGGGGGAAAGGGGAAAAGAAGGAGGAUAUAUAUACAUAUAUAGUAGCUGGGAUAAUUGUACUACUGAUUUCUAUUGGUUUGUUGAAAGGUGCAGUGAAUGCUUAAUUGUUUUAUUGAUUUUGUAUGCCUAUGUCUGGUGAUCUGAACAACUACUUUGAAGAUAACAAUAUAUACUAUAACAACUAUUGUUAAUUACCUGUCACCCUAUUUUGAAAUUCUGUAUCUUUUUUAUUGUUUUUGUUCUUUCAUUUUUGACUUUGUGUUUAUUUUUUGUGUUUUUUUCUUCUUUAAAAUAAAAAAAAAGAAAGGCUUUAUGGUCAAGAAACCCUGAAUUAUAUAAUCUUACCUCUACCCUCUCUAGCUGUGUGGCACUGAGCAAUUAUUUGGAUCUGUGACCCUCAGUCUUUUCAUCUGAGCAGUAAGGAAACAGCACCUUCCCUGGAGCAGCUUCUAGUGUUUAGCACAAAAGGUACUGUGGCAAACAUUAGUUCUCCUCCAUCCUUUUCCUAUGAAAUAUUUUAUUAUAAGUAACUGUCUUCAUGGGCAUGAUUUAAUGGUCCUUCCAACAUAAAGGCUAAAUACAGAUAACAAGUUCAUUGGGCUCCUUCCCCCAACUCCUGUGAGGGCU
This is a long non-coding RNA of Chinchilla lanigera (long-tailed chinchilla), 2305 nucleotides long. Lineage: Eukaryota; Metazoa; Chordata; Mammalia; Rodentia; Chinchillidae. The record is from Ensembl.